This is an RNA transcript of Glycine soja, 3999 nucleotides long. It is a transcript of the gene named serine/threonine-protein kinase CTR1-like, with no coding region annotated. NCBI's taxonomy places the organism in Eukaryota, Viridiplantae, Streptophyta, Magnoliopsida, Fabales, Fabaceae. The transcript is spliced from 15 exons. The record is from RefSeq and is a predicted model, not a curated record.
CUCGAAGCGUACGUUAGCACUGACUCGACACUUUUUGGAUUCCCCAUCCCUUUGCAGCAUUCCAUGAACUAGCAUGGCAACCCUUUCUUUUCUUCUGCAUAAAAUACAUUACAACGUCGUCACAACAUACCUUGCACCAAAUCUCUUCAUUCUCUCUCUCUCUCUCUCUCUCUAACACUUUCCACCGCCUCCGAAACUAAAUUAGCUUCUUCUUAAGCUUAUUAUUAAAAUAACACUUCCACAAACUCACGCUGCCUCCACGGUCCCUCCAGGGGUCAAAAUCGAUCGUCAUCGAGUUUGGACCAACGUUCAUUCAAUCUGCAACUCUCGGUAGUACUACAGUGCUAUAUAGAAGAAACGAAACGAAACUCUAUGGUGCUUAAUAGUGUUGUUUGAGUUUUUAGGUUGAGAAAGAAAGAAAGACACGGCGACGAAGACGGAGAACAGUGGUGGUUCUUCUUCGCACGUGCGAGCGUGCUUCACCAUCGUCUGUGCCUGCAGGUGUAGGUUCGUGUGGGUUGGUGGUUGAAAAAAAAGAGGUGGUUAAGAUCACGGUUUUUGAGUGAAGGAACAGUGAGAUUUUUUGUUUUUUAUUUUUUUGAAAAAUGCCUCACAGAGCAACUUACUUUUUCCCGAGGCAGUUUCCGGAAAGAGGAUUGGAUGAAUCUUCGAAGCAGAGAUUACAUCACGAGAAGAGGAAAAUCGUCAACUCCAUCAAAUCACCGGAUACUACGACUUUUGCCGCCUUCGAAAGCGACGCGCCGAAAAAGCAAACAGCACCACCACAGAGUCAGAGUCAGAGUCAGAGUCACACACAUGAUGAGAAAAACGACGUUGUUUUCUCGUCCACUAAGCAAAACGCCGUCUCCGAUUUAUUCACCGACGGCGACAAGUUCCGAACCCAGCAGAAGCAAAUCGCCGCCUUCUGCGACUGGUUGAUCGAUAAAAAGAAGGAUGGCAACCGUCCUAGUCGUCACCAUUUCAAACCUUAUCCGAAGGAGGAGGAGGAUGAACGUGAGCCUCUUCUUCCGCCGGCGGCGGCGCAGGCUGUGAAGGAUGCCGUCGACCAGAGCUUCGACCGGCAGGUUUCGCUGCCGCGGCUGUCCAGCGGGAGCAGCCACGCCGGAAGCUUGUUCACGCUGGACGGCACCGCCACAUUCUCCAGCGACGUCACCAAAGACGAAACGUCGUCGUUUUGUCAAGUCUUCGCCGAAGAAGACGCAACGAAGAAACAGCAAGAAGAGGAAGAAAAAGAAAAACGCAACACAGCGCAGAAGUACAAAGAAGGCUACUACCUGCAACUCGCGUUUACGAAGAGGCUAUCUUGCUUGGCAAGUCUCGGGUCCGAACCGGUUCUCGCUCUCGACGCUGGCACCGAAACCUGGGACGCUGAAUCCGUUUCGUAUCGUCUAUGGGUGAGUGGGUGCUUAUCGUACACGGAUAAGAUAUCGGAUGGUUUUUACAACAUAUUGGGGAUGAAUCCUUACCUGUGGGUGAUGUGCAACGAUGUGGAGGAAGAAGGGAAGCGGUUACCGACUCUGAUGGCGCUUAAGGCGGUUGAACCCAGCGACACUUCCAUAGAGGUGGUUCUUUUCGAUCGGCACGAAGAUUAUCGGCUUAAGGAGCUUCAGGAUAAAGCUCAAGAGUUGUAUUCUGCUUCGGAGAACGCGUUGGUGCUAGUGGAGAAGCUCGGAAAACUCGUUGCCAUAUGCAUGGGGGGUACAUUCCCGGUGGAGCAAGGAGAUCUACACAAGAGGUGGAAGUUGGUGAGUAAGAGAUUGAGGAACUUUCACCAAUGUGUUGUGCUUCCUGUUGGUAGCUUAUCUAGUGGACUCUGUAGGCAUCGCGCGAUUCUCUUCAAGAGAUUGGCGGAUUACAUAGGUUUGCCAUGUCGAAUUGCUCGAGGUUGUCGGUACUGUGCUUCAGAUCAUAGAUCGUCUUGCCUUGUCAAGAUUAAAGAUGACAGACAGCUCUCAAGGGAAUAUGUAGUUGACCUGGUUGGGGAACCUGGAAAUAUCCAUGGGCCGGAUUCAUCUAUUAAUGGAGCAUAUGUGUCUUCAAUACCUUCUCCUUUUCAAAUUUCUCAUUUGAAAGAAUGCCAAUCGCCAUAUGUGGAUGUUGCAGCAUGUUCUCAAUCUCUUGGUAACACUUAUUUAGGCAGUGUAAGGGAAGAUCAACAAGCUGAAGAAAUUGAUCUGCAGAAAAAUAAUAAUGGCUCUAUUUAUCCUGCAAUAGAUCAAACUCAUGGAGGUGCAGAACCACCUCUAAUUCCUUUUGGCUUGAAAGGGAAUGACAAGGAAUGUGCGAUCCUAGGUUUAUUAAAUUUUCCUCCAGUAUAUGAAGGUGUUUCUAAGGAUCUUCACCCAGCCACUAAAGCGUCAUUACAUGAAUACCCCAGGCUCAGUAAAGAUUCAGUUGUAGUACUAGAAGCUUCCAACAAAGAGAUAGAGAUCAUUGUAAAAGGAAGUUCUGGGGUAAAAAGUAACUAUAGGCAAUCCACACUGAGCUCAUCCAGUCAAUCAAAACAGGAACAAGAGCAAGUAAAAAUUAAAGUUGAAAAUCAGGGUGCUAGUAAUAUUCCAAGAUACUUGAAUCUUGAACCAUCACUUGCAAUGGAUUGGCUUGAGAUACCAUGGGAUGAUUUACGAAUCAAAGAGCGUGUUGGUGCUGGAUCCUUUGGGACAGUGUAUCGUGCUGAAUGGCAUGGAUCAGAUGUUGCUAUCAAGGUUUUAACAGUUCAGGAUUUCCAAGAUGAUCAAUUGAAAGAGUUUCUAAGAGAGGUUGCAAUAAUGAAACGAGUACGUCAUCCAAAUGUGGUGUUGUUCAUGGGUGCAGUUACUAAACGUCCCCAUCUAUCUAUAGUAACAGAAUAUUUGCCUAGGGGCAGUUUAUUUCGCCUAAUACAUAAGCCAGCAUCUGGUGAGAUUCUAGAUCCAAGGAGAAGAUUACGGAUGGCUUUAGAUGUGGCUAAAGGGAUCAAUUAUCUCCACUGUCUAAAGCCUCCAAUUGUGCACUGGGAUCUCAAAACCCCAAAUCUGUUGGUGGACAGAAAUUGGACUGUAAAGGUCUGUGAUUUUGGAUUGUCCAGAUUUAAGGCAAACACUUUCUUAUCAUCAAAAUCCGUUGCUGGAACAGUUGAACUUUCACUUCACGGUGCCACAUCUUCAAUAAGUGUGUAACUCUCUUAAUUUUAUUUUCAGCCUGAGUGGAUGGCUCCAGAAAUUCUUCGAGGAGAACCUUCAAAUGAGAAGUCUGAUGUUUACAGUUUUGGGAUUAUCCUGUGGGAACUUGUGACUCUGCAACAACCAUGGAAUGGACUUAAUCAUGCCCAGGUGGUUGGAGCUGUCGCUUUCCAGAACAGGAGACUUGCUAUCCCUCCAAACAUCUCCCCAGCAUUGGCCUCCCUCAUGGAAUCUUGUUGGGCCGAUAACCCUGCUGAUCGUCCAUCUUUUGGUAGCAUAGUUGAAUCGUUAAAGAAGCUACUGAAGUCACCAGCAGAUGCAAUAAAAAUGGGUGGGGCAGUAACAUAAGGAGUAUUCUGCCCGUGGCUGGGGCUUUUGGUUGCAGAAAUUUAUUCAAUUAACCUGACCCUCGUUGGUCAUAUCAUAUACUCCUAUUUGAUGAUGGCAUGAAGCCCUUUGGACUUUGGUUGUUGCAAUUGUAUAUCGAUCGGUUGAUUCAUGCUAACCCAUUUCGUAAGGGCACUUAAAGCAUUCUAAGUUCUCUAGCUAGCUGGCCCUUUGGACUCUUCUGCUAAAAUGAUGACCUCAAGCUCUUUUAUCUAUAGCUUUGAGAUCAAUAAAAAAAAAUUCUGACUUGCUCCCCCCAAGCUAUAAAUUAUUUGGAGCUUGCUAUUGUUUUUCAGAUGGUAUAUAUGUAAUAAAUUAUUUGACAAUAUGUAUCUCAUAUCUCGUCUAGAACCCUGUUCUUAAGUUUCUGAUUGUGGUGCAAAUUACCCACUCCAUUCUAAGAAGGCAAUUGUGUGUGUCGUUAUGGAAA